This is an RNA transcript of Eriocheir sinensis (Chinese mitten crab), 9890 nucleotides long. It is a transcript of the gene named alanine aminotransferase 1-like, with no coding region annotated. NCBI's taxonomy places the organism in Eukaryota, Metazoa, Arthropoda, Malacostraca, Decapoda, Varunidae. The record is from RefSeq and is a predicted model, not a curated record. The transcript has 13 exons.
AGGGUCUGUCGUAGAGGGUCUUGUACGGCUGUUGCUAUCGAGGAUCAUCGCCAAGGAGAGGGAGAGAGGAGAAAAAAGAAAAAAAGAAAAGAAAAUGCUGUGGUGCUGGCGACUGAACUGUAUUACCAAGCACUGGCAACAACACGGCGCGCAGUGUUUGCUCAACCUUCGUAGUGGUAGAACGUACGUCACUUUGCUCUGCACCAUGGCGGGAAAUACCGGUGAAAAGGUCAUUAAUUUGGACAACAUGAAUGCCCAGGUCAAGAAGAUGGAGUACGCGGUGAGGGGGCCGCUGGUCAUCCGCGCCACGGCCAUUGAAAAGGAGUUACAAGCGGGUGCGGAGAAGCCCUUCAAGAAUGUAACUAAGGCGAACAUCGGGGACGCGCAUGCCAUGGGACAAAAGCCCAUCACCUUCCUCAGACAGGUGGUGGCUCUCUGCCUCAUGCCCAGUCUUCUCGAGGACCCCAGCUUCCCUGAGGAUGUCAAGCAGCGGGCACGGGGCAUCCUGGCAGGGUGUCGCGGGGGCUCCCUCGGGGCCUACAGUGACUCCCCGGGCAUCGAGAUCAUCCGCCGGCACGUGGCUGAGUACAUCGAACGGAGGGACGGACACCCGGCCUCCUGGGAGAACGUGGUGCUGUGUGCAGGGGCUUCAGAGGGCAUCAGGGGCACGAUGAAGAUGAUGAUCCAGCACGACAACGGCAUUAAGCCCGGCGUGAUGAUCCCCAUCCCUCAGUACCCGCUCUACUCCGCCACAAUAGCAGAGUUCAACCUCCACCAGAUUGGUUACUACCUGGAUGAGUCCACAAACUGGGGCCUGGACAUGGCUGAGCUGGAGCGUGCCUAUGAUGAGGCCAAGGCUGUGUGUCUGCCCAAGGCCUUGGUGGUGAUCAACCCUGGCAACCCUACUGGUAAUGUGCUGCCUCGAGAGAACAUUGAAGCUGUCAUCAAGUUUGCAUAUGAAAAAAAACUCUUCCUAUUUGCUGAUGAGGUGUACCAGGACAAUGUGUAUGCUGAGGGCUGUAAGUUCCACUCCUUCAAGAAAGUCCUGAUGGAACUUGGAGAGCCAUACUGCCACAUGGAACUUGCAUCCUUCAUGUCCUGUUCCAAAGGUUACAUGGGUGAGUGUGGCCUGCGUGGGGGCUAUGCUGAACUCAUCAACCUUGACCCACAAGUAAAGGCGAUGUACCUCAAGAGCAUUUCUGCCAAGCUCUGCCCCACCACCCUUGGCCAGGCAGUAAUGGACUGUGUGGUCAACCCACCACGCAAGGGAGAGCCAUCCUACGAACAGUUCACAUCUGAAAAGAAUGCCGUUUUGUCAUCCCUCGCACAGCGCGCCAAGAUGGUUGUGGAGACCUUCAACUCAGUGCCUGGCAUGUCCUGCAACAUUGUACAGGGUGCCAUGUAUGCCUUUCCCCAGAUCAAGCUGCCCCCAAAGGCUGUUGAGGCUGCCAAGGCAGUGGGGCAGGCACCGGACGUCUUCUAUGCCUUCCAGAUCCUGGAGAACACCGGCAUAUGCAUUGUCCCUGGCAGUGGCUUCGGACAGCGCCCUGGCACUUACCAUUUCAGGACCACCAUCUUGCCUCAGCCAGAGAUGCUCAAAGCCAUGUUGGAGAAGUUCAGGGAGUUCCACACCAACUUUGUCAACCAGUACCAGUGAGGAGGAGGACAGUGCCUGAUCUUUCGCCUGCCUAUGGGGCCGCGGCGAUCUAGUCGCUCACAUGAGCCCUGGUGUCGUCCUGUGAGGUCUUCACAGGCGCGUCAGCUGCCCCGUCUUCCUGAGGAAGGCGCAGAACCUCCUGUCUGCACCAGCAAGCAUCUUAAAUCUUGAACACACACACACACACACACACACACACACACACACACACACAGUGAAACACAGUUUUGCCUCUACCACCUCCAGCACUAUCUCCACCACCACCACCACCACCACUGUAUACCAGAUGUGCAUUAUUCACUGCCAUUUGUAACGAAUUAACAAUAAUCUGCACCUGUUAUCCACUGCACAAAUUAGUAUGUUUAAUGUUAAACUGAUGGGAAAAUGCUGUCUGUCUGUCUGCUAUGCUGGACCUGCAUGUUUUUUUUUAGUUUGGCGUGUCAUUCGCAACCGUCACUCUUCUGCAUCUUUACUGUGCUUGCCAAUUAGUUCACAAGGUUUGGUUAUGAACCUGUUUUUUUCAAGGCUCAUGAGAUCUAGAAACAAGGUAGGUAGGAAUUUAGUGAACUACUCUAAUUCCUUAUUGUUGUUGAGAUUUUUUCCUUCCUUGAGAUGCUGCUGCAAUGUCUUAAAUAUCACUUUUUGGCAGGAGCUUAACCGUUUUCUUGCACUAUGUUAUGGUGCAGUUCAAUAUUGGUAAAAGCAGCAUUCAAAGUAUAUGAAAAAUAACCCCCUAAGUAACUAUACAGUCGUCCCUCAAAUAGUACGGGGGUUAGGGACUCAGGACCCCCGUACUAUUCGAAAAUCAGUAUAAAAUUAGUGCCCCCCCUAGAAACACUCCAGGCCACUCUUAUGGAAUCCGAGUCCUGCCUGGCUCAGCUGUUACUCACGGGCCCAAGUUACCAGUUAUGCAUUUUCUGCUGCAGUCACAGUGCAGUGUUACCACGCUAGGGGGGGUCAAGUGGGGCGAAGCCCCCCGUUAGAGGUCAGGUUAUUUAAAGUUUGGCUGGAGUAGUUUAAAAAUGCAUCCCAUAACUAUAUAAUAUGGAGGCGUAAUGUCGUAUUUUGAAGGCGCAGAGUCGAUCUUCACAAUUACCAUUUCGUAUCUGAUUUGAAGUACGAUUUAGAAACCAAUAGAAACUGUGGUAGAGAGUAAAAGAGAAUGUAGGUGUAUGCCAUGGCUCGCUCGCUGACAAUGUGGAGACAAUGUGGAAGGGAGCGCUGCCAAGAUGGCAUGCUUGCUCAGCGUGGUAACAUUACAGCAGAAAAUGCAUAACUGGCAACUUUGGCCGGCGAGUAGAAGCUGAGCCAGGCGGGACCUCCGGAUUUCAUAGGAGUGCCCACUCCUGCCCACCAAUUUCUUGUUUAAGGUAAGAAAAUGCCUAUUUAUGUGUUUAUAAUAGGUUCAUUUAUGAACAAACAGAAAAGGACGGCCUUUAUCUCCACUCUUGCAACACUCUUGGAGCACUGGCAGUUACUGCGGCAAGAAUUUUUUCGACAUUAUGAUAGAUACAGCGAACACUGCUCUCAUUCACGUGGUAUGCUCUCCCUACCACAACGUAACUCAUCCCAAAACGUAACUUCUUCUAAAUCUGAAUUCUUCUUCAAGGUGAACACCUUUCUCGAAUGGUGUGGGAUGCUUUCAGCAGGUGUUUUGGUAGAACAGUGUUGCCACUCACCAUGGCUGUUUGAUGCGACAAACGGAAAAUUAAAAAACCUUAAAAAAAUUCUUCCAUGACAGUCCGUAUAAAACUGAAACCGUACUAUUCGAAACCAUACUAUUUGAGGGACGACUGUACAUUGAAUUAGUUUUUGGUCAUUCCAGCUGUGAAAUGGGAUUUGGAUGUGCAUGUGGGUUCUGAUCUUGACCUAGAAAUCACCAUAUUACUGUCAGGAACUGCACCAUUUCUGUUAAUUUUAAUAAUUCAAGAAACAUUAGUACGUACUUGGAGUGCUGAAUUUAUCCUUAAAUUGUAUCUGGCACUGGUUAAGCCCCACUUUCUUCAUGAUGUUCAACACUGGUGCCCUUAUUACAGAAAGGAUGUGGAUUCCCUCAAAUCAGUAGAGAAGAGUGACCAAAAUGAUCUAAGAACUUAGAAAUAUGCUGAACCUAUAAAGCUUAAUUUACAUUCUUUGGAGAGACUUAGACUUUGAGAUGAUUUAUUUGAAGUUAUUACAUGGGUUAAGGGGAUCAGUAAUGGGAUGAAGUACUUGUUCCACAAACUGAUGUUGGGACAUGAGGCAAUAGAUACAAAAUGGAUAAAUUGAAGCUGAGGAAGAAGGUAAACAAAAAACUAGUUGACAAAAAGGACAGUGGAUGAAGGGAACAAAUUAAGGAGAUAUAUAAUUGAUGGAAGCACAAUUGAAAGUUUUAAAAUGGAGGUUAGAUUUAUGGUCAGGGAAGGGAGUUGAUGAACAGCUUGUCCUCAGGAGCCACCAGGUGUAGACUGUUUGUUUGUGCUAUUAACAAUAUAUCUUUUUACCGAUGUAGAAAAAAACUCAAUCAGUACACUCGUUUGAAAAUCAUAAUUGACUGAUAACUUGACAAAUCACUAAUACAGCUUACCAUUGUUGUCAUUGAUGAACAGGCUAGAGGGAAAAAGGUGUUGUCAUACUGAGCACUGCCUUGACAGACUGGUUGAAAGUGAGGUUUGCACUGGUACACUUUCCUCAGUUUAGCUCUGCAUGUGUUGUUUCUGGGUCUGGCUUGAUAGUUUUUUUUUUUAAGCUUUUGAAAGGUCUAUGCAGGACAGAGGGCAGCUGACCUAGUCCACUUCUGGCUUCCACUAAGGUACUGUUACACUUAAGACUGUCACAGGAGGGCUCUUAUUCUAAUAUGCUUGGUCAGCGUGUAAGUAAUAUGUGACAUAUCAAAGGCUCAACUAUUUUAUACACCUAAGAACUGUUUGUAUCAACUAAAGAAAAUUAUUAAUGCAAAUAAAGGACUGUUUGUAUCAACUAAAAAAACUAUUACUGCGAUUCAAGAACUGUUUAUAUCAACUAAAAACUAUUACUGCAACUAAAGGUUCACUAACAAACAACAGUAUUAGUUUCAUACCAUUUUUAGCAAAGUUGAUGUACAAUUGUUUAUUAGCAUUUAAUAACUUUCUUUGUCCUGGGAGUUUUCAUCAUGUAUCUCAUACCUUAAAGAUAAUUAUUGAACAUGCCCAUAAAUGUCAUCAAAAACUAAAUGUCACUUCCUCACAAAUGCUGCUUUGAAGGAACAUUUCCAUGCCUUUGCUUGCCAGACAACACCCAUGAUAGAGCAAGGGAAAGGCAGAGGCUGUCCAUCUCCCUUACCUCAAGUAUACUUGGUCUUGGUCACGUUGAUGUAGCAUGAAAAUUGGGUGGUCCUGUAUUGUUUACAUUUGUCAUGUUGUGUGUAUCCUCAGUGGCGAUUCAACUCGCUGCGAUUGUUUAGCAACUCCUGAAAUGUUAAAACUAAAGUUGUGGCAUGUGAGUCUGCGAUGUGCAUUAUCAUGCUCUGGCAACCUGUUGUCACAAGGCGGGUUCGAUUUUGUGGAUAAUAAUGAUAGACUACGCGUAGGAAACAGUUGUCAGUAGCAAUCCCGUGCAGGAUGACGAAUGCCAUAUAGUUGAUUUUGAGGUUUGAGUUAUUGAUACUGUCACAGAGAGUGGUUUUGUAAAUUCAUAAAGCUGAUUAUAACUAAGCACACCUCAGACUUGGGUGCCACAGCUAUAGUGUCCACCCUACCAAGGUGCCCCAGGGGAACUUCAUAUCAGGCAGUGAAGUACCUAAUGCCAGCAUCCAUGCCAUUGCACCAGCAGCAGCCAGCACUUUUGAUGACAUUGAUUAUAAUUAUCAGCCUUCUUUUGGUGGGCAAUCCAGGAAAGGCAUUGAAUUAUUAGUGAAGAAACAGCAGUAGUAAAUAUAAGGAGAAAUAGUAACAGUUGCUGAAAACCUUUACAGGGAGUUCAGGGUACACUGAUACCUUGAUUUUUUUAAUAGAUAUCAACAGAAAGGAAGCCAUGUUUGAAACUGGUGGGAACCAAAUUUUCAAUAAGGGAAAUAAAUUGCUCGCUGUAAGUAAUAGAAUGUUGUAGAUGGCCCAUGCAUGCUGUAUGCAGAAACUAUAAAAAUAUGAACACUUAAAUUAAGUAGGCACAGACUCGUGUAAAACAGAAUGCAGGUGAUGAGUGAAUGAGGUAAAUAGCUGAUGUGCAAGCUGACAACUGUGUGCAUACUGACAAAUGUGGCGAUGCACUCAGUAAUUCCAGAUGAAUAUAAACUUUCUGUAACCAGCCAGACUCCAUUGCAGUAACUGGUUGCAACAAUUAGCUUACCACAAUGGGAGAUUUAUGCAGGUUAUUCUGCUCCCAAUAAGUUAGGAUUUCUCCCAGUUUUGAACAUGGCUUUCCUCUUUUGGCCUGAAAAUUUGUUAUUACUGUAAAUGCAAAGCACACAUGCUGGCUGGCCUCUGUGUGUUACCAGUGCUGCUCUUCAGGCAGGGCAGCUCACAUCAUUGUGACCGCUGUUCAAAGGCCUUAACUCAUAUAUGGCAUCACAAAGAUGGAUCUGAAUGUGAAAAUUUUCACUGGCUGCAGCUUGACUUCUCAACUUGCUGAGACUUUACAUGUAUCCUUCGUGCUUGUGUAAAAGUCAAAGCCAUACAAAUGUGAUAUGUUCAACUGAUGACUAAACCUAAGAACUCAGAAGAGUAGCAUGCACAUGAAAGUUAACCUAAAGGUGGCCUUAAUUUUUUUUCCCAAAGUCUGACUUUUACACAAGUCUCUACAGUGAUUGUAAUAAAGAAAGUUGGCAGAAAGUCAAGUCUGUGCUUAAAGAACCCCACAUAUAUCAAGGGCAGUCAGUAGGAGUAAAUUAUGUAUACUUAUCAGUGUUCCUAUGGGUGGGUAAAGGUAAUCAGUGCAUUGGUGUUCAGCAAUCCUCCUGGCUGAAGGCUGUCACUGCAACCAUCCCAGUGUUGUGUGGCAGCUCUUGCCUUAGACAAGGGUUGCAUUCCUUGAGAACCUGUGUUAAGUGAACUUUGCUACAUUUAAACAUUAUAUCCCCCAAUAGAUAUGUGGCACAUGAAGGGCUUUGGUUCAUAGUAAGCUAUGGCAUGUGAAGGGAUCUUGGUCCAUAUUGAUAUAGGGAAAUUGUGUAAGGCAAGAAAUAUAUUGGAUUUCUAACAAAGGCAUGAAUUAAAGCAUAAAAUGAGAGGGAACUGCAAUGGCAAGACCAGCAUGAUAAAGGCUGGCCUGUCUCUCUGCCCAGUACCCUGCUGAACCUCAGAGGCUGGAUGAAGUGUUGUUGUGAGUAACACAGGAGGCACAACAGAGAGAUUGAAGACAGUGCCUUCUGCGGUGCUACAUUUCUAAUACUAUGUAUUUUCAGCAUGACAUAAGCUUAAAGUGCUGGAUAUCGGGUAUGGCAAUACAUAUUCUCUCUCUCUCGGGUCAUAACUCUUUCACAGUCCCAAGGGGUAACAGAUGGGCUGAAAGGUUUUAAGGUCACCCCUUGUGCCAUCUUCAUGAUAUAUUUAGUCGUAUGUAAACAAAGUAGCCUGUGUCUCGUAAAUAGUUACAUGUAUCUGUGUAGCCACUUGCCUCCCUCCAUUCACCUACCGCUGCAGCUGUGGUCAUGGUGAUGUCAGCAGCUAUGACACACAUCUUCAAUGUUUCACAGCUUAUAUAGGUACUUAAGUGACAUAAAUAAUGAUACUAGGUGUUUGGAAAGCCAUUCUGGCUGUAGUGUUGUUUAACUUCACAUGCAAAACUGUUUGCAUCACCACACUUGGCUGCAGAAUUAUGUGAAUGUAACAACGGGUACAAACACAACUUAAGACUGUAGCUCGUUGAGUCAUCGUCUUAUCUACAUAUCACAAAAAAUGUCCAGUAAUUUCCAUCCAAACCACUAUAUUUUAACCGUAUUCCUCAGCAAUUGUGUGCUCUGGUCAUGCUUGCUUCAAGGUUUGGCCACUCACUACAUGUAAAAGUGGCUCAAAUUUUGACCACAAAGCACUAAGUUUCAUAUCUGUUGAACCAUUUCAGAAUAACAAGGUUGUAAGCCCCAAUUUGUAAAGAUGAGAAAACUGUUGAAAUUCAUUUCAUCCUUAGCUUAAGAUUUAUUGUUAUGAAAUGCUGUUUUGAACUUGUUACAUUACUAAUGCCUCAAGUCACCUCCAGAAGGCCACAAGGCAGGACAUGUUGAUAUACACACACACACGCACACCUGAUGAGACCAAAAUUGGAAUAUGCGGAGGCAGUGUGGUCUCCCCAUAAGAAGAAACACUUAAAGAAGCUAGAAAGAAUACAAAGGAUGGCAACAAAAAUGGUUCCAGAGUUGAAGGGAUUGACAUAUGAGGAAAGACUAAAGGAAAUGGACUUAACAACACUAGAACAAAAAAGAGAAAGGGGAGACCUAAUACAAAUCUAUAAAUUAUAGAGCAAAAUGGAAGAAGUAGAUAAUGAGGAGUUACAACAAAAAGAAGGAAUUACCUCCAUGAACACAAGAGGACAUAGUAAAAAAUUGAGGAAGGGAAGAUGCUUGAGAGACAAAGAAAUAUAGCUUUCCGCAAAGAAAUAUAGAGGUUUGGAACAGACUAAGUGAGGAUGUAGUAUUGGCGAGGAGUGUGCAAAGCUUUAAAGAAAAGUUGGAUAAAUGCAGAUACGGAGACGGGACCACAUGAGCAUAAAGCCUAGGCCCUGUAAAACUACAACUAGGUAAAUACCUCUGCAAGACAGGAGGACUCAAUAGUCUGGUGCUACUACAAUUUUUUUUGUUUUGGCCGUGGUGGUGCUGGCAACCUUGUUUUUCUAAGACUCAACUGUAUAUGGAUUACAUAAAAAAUGUUAUACACCUUAGUAAAAAAUCUGGGCACCUGAAGAGCAAUAUGUUGAAAAAUAAGUGUGCAGUGUACAUACAUAUAACACAUGCACUUAUGUAAAAGUCAACCUUGCAAGGCUUGUAUUUGUUCAAUUUUGGAAUAAAUUUAACUUCUUUGAAAGUCACAUCCAUGUUAAUCAACUCACUAAACUUGUCCUGUAAAAGAUCAUGCAAUAGAUUUGACUUUUACAUAAGUGUACACAGUACUACUGAUAGACUGAUGUGGCAAGACUACAAGAGUGGCACGUCAUAGUAGUGACUAUAAGAGUAACAGAGGUGGCUAAAAUUAUGUUGUCUUAGAAAGUAAAUCAUCUGUGAUUGUUGGUUUGUGAUAAAUGUCAAACUAGGAUAUUGUAAUGCAAUUAUUUUUACAGUGUAAUUUACUCUGAAAAUGUUAAUUGUGUCAGCAUGAUGACUUAUGUAGUCACCCUAUUACCAAAGUGAUGGAGGAGAAAAAAGCUAGUUCGAUUCUAAUAAUUAUGAUAUUAAUAACAAGCAAAAGAAUUGUUACCUCUUACCAGAUAUUGUUUUGUUGGUGAAGACAGGAAAGUGAUGUGCUGUUUUCCAUGGUAGGCAGUGUUGCACAGCACAGUCAGCAGGAGUGGUGCUCUCACUCUGGCUUCUGGCAGGGCCACAAGAUGGGUGGCUUCUCGGAAAAAGUGCUAUUAGUAGGCUCAAGAUAACAGGGUUCUUACAAUCGUGGAAAGUCUGGAAAAUCUUUAAAAGAAAUUAGUUUUCUUCCAAGCCUGAAAAAGCAUGGAAUGUCACUAAUUUAGGAAAAUGUCAUGAAAUGUAAGAAAUUUAUAAUAGGAAGAAAUAGUAGAGCUCAUGGGGUUUAUAUACAGAAGAAAGUGUCAAAUGGUGACAUUGAUUAACAUUGGUGUCUGUGAUGGACAGUAGUCUUAAAUGGCUGUGUGGUGACUGUGUACAGUAGAUGCCUGAACAAGCUGCAUACCACACAUCUCAGGCUUCUAUACUGAAAACAGUAACUGUGUUUUUCUUGAAAAAAAAAUUAUUAUGAUUUUAGUCAUCUUUGAUGAGUUGGAACCUUGUAAUAAUACUGGAUAACCCAACACCAAACCAUAAAUAUUUAUUGUUUAAUAAAUGCACAGUACUUAAACAGCUCACAGCCACCAAAGUGGAGAAAGAAAUAUCUUUUACUUACUGUUGUUAGCCCCACCACGGGGCUUUCACAUCAAGGAAAGAAAAUACAACAAUGUCUUGAUAAAAAGAUGGAAGUGCUCUUUUAGCUAACUGUAUCUGUGUGAGUAAAAAAUAUGUAUGUACAUGUAAAAUAAUGAAACACCACAUCACCUUUUGUUUUAGUACUUUACAGUUGAAAGGGAAUACAAAAGGUUUGCCUGAAUAAACAAGGAAAAUCAA